RNAcentral lists this ribosomal RNA (142 nucleotides) under uncultured eukaryote. Its description in RNAcentral is "partial 18S ribosomal RNA". It matches the Rfam family "Eukaryotic small subunit ribosomal RNA", at positions 1299 to 1458 of the family's 1831-position model. The record is from RNAcentral.
UCGUGGAGCGAUUUGUCUGGUUUAUUCCGUUAACGAACGAGACCGCUACCUGCUAAAUAGUUCGGUCUAGGGUUCGCUCUAGAUACGUGACUUCUUAGAGGGACUACUGGUGUGUAGCCAGUGGAAGUUAGCGGCGAUAACA